GUCCUUUUAUCCCAACUGUGUGGCAUAGCUCCAGAAGAGAGACCUACUUGCAUGUAAGCAGGUCUCAAACCAUUCAGAUGCUAAGAUUUAUCUUUUUAUCUAAACUCUGAGGUACACAAAAUGGGAGGGGGAGGUCCUCUCAAAAAUGUUUACCCUCAACAAAAAUGGUGGUUUGUAUUCUGUAAUACAUUUAUCAGUAGGGCAGGUGAACUUCAUAGCGCUUGGUUUCUUAAGCAGCAAAAUUCAUGAACUGGGCUGAUGAAAUACUGACUUCUUUUCUGAUGGGUCAAUCAAAUGUAUGUUUCCACACCAUCUCUGAGAAGGUGUAAGUUCUCAUUUGAAUCUUUUCCUCUGAUUAAGGCAUUUAAAGAGCUGAACUGGCACUAGAGGUUUUGACUUAGAGGGAUCGCUAACGCAGAAUAUAUAUCCAACCUUUUCUUUUCAUGAAAGUUACAGGAAGUGAGUAUUUCUGAGGCCUCUAGCAAAUAUGGUUGGGAUUAGCCUGUGGAUUCUAGAGUUAUUGAGCCAGAAAAGAGAACAAAUAGAUGAAUACAGACAUGCAUAGGAACUGUGACACAGCCUUUUCUUUCUUUAGGAAACUAGACUAGCAAUGUGAUGUGGAAGCUUGUUAGUCUUUUACAGCGGGGGCUUGAUUUUACACUGGACAGCUGUUGUGAGUUAAACACCUUAGUGGCAAUUUAUUUUGGAACUCCACAACAUUCUGUACUUAUAUGUAAUCCAUAUACAGAUCCCUGUUUUGAAAAACAAUGCUGUUUUAUCAGAAAGAACUGACUAUGUCCCUGUAUUUUAGGCUUGGAAUUUAGGGCAGAGGGCAACCCAAGUAUCUAUUGAACCUGGUCUGAGGAAGAUUUUUCCGCUCUGCAUUUUCUUUGGUACAGACUUAAAGAACUAGAAGAAAAGUCAAGAAAGUGGGAGUCCAGAUCAGAAGACACACAUCUUAUAAGCUGUCUGCAAGACAAAUUAAGUGAGAAAGAAGAAAUUAUCAAGCAGCUGGUGGAAGGAAGAAAAUUUCAGCAUUCACUUCUAGCCAACACUGAAUCUUACAGGAAUCGAUCAUUUUCUUUCAACCCCAAUACGGGCUGCUUGACUCCUUCCAUGAAGCAGCAGAAGAAAACGGCUGAGGUGCCCAGUCGUGUUGUCAGUGUGCCAAAUUUAGCUGCCUACGCAAAGAGCUUUUUGAGCUGCGAUUUGAGAUCCAAAAGAAAUGCUCCUCAAAUAACCAAAUCUACGAGCUUAGACCGGAGUCCUGGCGGCCUCAGCGUGGGCUCUCCAUCAGCACAGUCCUCAGACAGCAGCACUGCCACAAGGACUCAAGGCAACGAACCCCAAAAAACCAAAGAUGACCAAACCCAAGACCCUCAGCAUCAAGAAUGGUUUACUAAAUAUUUUUCAUUUUAAAGCAAACUAUUUCCAUACUUCUCAGAAUUGCUAGAAAAGCUGUUCCUUUUUUAUUUUAGGGAAUGAUAAUCCAAUAUAUGAUAUGAAAAAAAAAGUAAUUUCCAAGUAGAUUAAUUAAGAACAACUGUACUCUCUUACAUCUAAUUACUAUGGAGUUACAGUCGUGGAUUUCAGAAAAAUAAAUAUUUUGUAACAACCUCUGUAAAAAACGAAGAAAAAGUAAAAUUCUGGAUAUUGUUAUGUUAAGAGACUUUUUAAUUAAGAGACUGUACCACUCCACAGUCACAUUAAAUAUGCAAUUUGGUCUCCAGUAUGUCAAUCUGGCUCCAGCUGAAAAAAAGAUCUUCUCUAGGCCAUUUCUGUAGGUUUAUACAUUUGCUUCAUCAGCUGUUUAAACUAAUUCCUGCAUAUAGUGAUGUAAUUUUUAAAGUUUUUAAUAGGUUUUUUGUUAAACUUACUUUAAGCUGUACAGCAUGUGGUAUACCUCCAAGAAACGCAUGUUUAUAGCAAGCUGGUUUAGAAACUUUCUGGUUUGCUCAAUAAACUGUUUUGUAUAGUCAGCAUUGCAAUAUAAUAUUCCUAUUGCACUUCAAUACAUGUAACAAUCAGCCUGAUAAAUCAGAUUAUUAUGUAAGUAUGAACAUUAAAACUUGCUUGUAAAUCCUCCA
Calidris pugnax (ruff) is the source of this 2087-nucleotide RNA transcript. It is a transcript of the gene named protein FAM184B-like, with no coding region annotated. NCBI's taxonomy places the organism in Eukaryota, Metazoa, Chordata, Aves, Charadriiformes, Scolopacidae. The record is from RefSeq and is a predicted model, not a curated record. The transcript has 4 exons.